Molecule: ribosomal RNA, 387 nt
Filed under: uncultured eukaryote
Lineage: Eukaryota
Description: partial 18S ribosomal RNA
Rfam family: Eukaryotic small subunit ribosomal RNA
Source: RNAcentral
CAAUAGCGUAUGCUAAAGUUGUUGCAGUUAAAAGGCUCGUAGUCGAACUUAUGGCCCUGUGAACCUGGCCCAAUCUCUAGUAGAUUGCGUGCCGGUGUGCACGGGUCAUUCUUCUGGAGAUCAUCGCGAUCCUUGAUUGGGUCCGUGAUGUAAUUCAGAUCAUUUACUGUGAGAAAAUCAAAGUGUUCAAAGCAGGCUUUAAUGCUUGUAUGGUUCAGCAUGGAAUAAUAAGAUAAGACUUCGGUUUUGUUUUGUUGGCUAUACGAACCAAAGUAAUGAUUGAAAGGGAUAGUUGGGGGUGCUAGUAUUCAGUGGUCAGCGGUGAAAUGCGAGGACCCAUUGAAGACUAACUUAUGCGAAAGCAUUCACCAAGGAUAUCUNCUUUGA